Molecule: long non-coding RNA, 242 nt
Filed under: Lathyrus oleraceus (garden pea)
Lineage: Eukaryota; Viridiplantae; Streptophyta; Magnoliopsida; Fabales; Fabaceae
Description: Pisum sativum (pea) long non-coding RNA (PSAT_LNC018458)
Source: RNAcentral
UAUUGGGGAGGAAAAAGUCAACAAACCAACUGCUUGGGGAAGUCCAACAAUGCUUUACACUUCAAGACUUACCUAUCCUUAAAUUGUUGUUGACAUUCCUUGCUGAAAUCGAUUGUUCUUAAAGUGCAUGCUUUUAUUAUUUUAAGAAAAAUAAUUAUUCAUUGAUUUAUUUCAAAAUUAUCAGCAUAAAAUUCAAUUUUAAAACAGAAACGAAUUAAAAUAGAAAUAAUUGGAUAAAAGCU